RNAcentral lists this ribosomal RNA (484 nucleotides) under uncultured bacterium. RNAcentral's name for it is "partial 16S ribosomal RNA". It matches the Rfam family "Bacterial small subunit ribosomal RNA", at positions 30 to 507 of the family's 1533-position model. The record is from RNAcentral.
AUUGAACGCUGGCGGCAGGCCUAACACAUGCAAGUCGAGCGGAUGAAGGGAGCUUGCUCCUGGAUUCAGCGGCGGACGGGUGAGUAAUGCCUAGGAAUCUGCCUGGUAGUGGGGGAUAACGUCCGGAAACGGGCGCUAAUACCGCAUACGUCCUGAGGGAGAAAGUGGGGGAGCUUCGGACCUCACGCUAUCAGAUGAGCCUAGGUCGGAUUAGCUAGUUGGUGGGGUAAAGGCCUACCAAGGCGACGAUCCGUAACUGGUCUGAGAGGAUGAUCAGUCACACUUGAACUGAGACACGGUCCAGACUCCUACGGGAGGCAGCAGUGGGGAAUAUUGGACAAUGGGCGAAAGCCUGAUCCAGCCAUGCCGCGUGUGUGAAGAAGGUCUUCGGAUUGUAAAGCACUUUAAGUUGGGAGGAAGGGCAGUAAGUUAAUACCUUGCUGUUUUGACGUUACCAACAGAAUAAGCACCGGCUAACUUCGUG